CAGCAGUUUCCCAGAAUGCUGUUUUAACAAACACAGCCACAUCUAUAAAGAUAUGACCGCUUUAAACAGGUUUCUUUCCAUCUAAUGGUUUAUUUUAAUUUACUUUUAAAGGCCAUGUACUGUGUUUAGAAUUGAUUUUCUUAAUUGUAAAUAAAGUGUGAGUGCAAACUAAACGAUGUUUCCAGAGACAACAAUAAAGUCUUUUAAAAACA
Molecule: long non-coding RNA, 212 nt
Filed under: Danio rerio (zebrafish)
Lineage: Eukaryota; Metazoa; Chordata; Actinopteri; Cypriniformes; Danionidae
Description: lncRNA (ENSDARG00000099094.2)
Source: RNAcentral